UACGUAGGGCGCAAGCGUUGUCCGGAAUUAUUGGGCGUAAAGAGCUCGUAGGCGGUUUGUCGCGUCGGCUGUGAAAACCUGGGGCUUAACUCCGGGCCUGCAGCCGAUACGGGCAGACUAGAGUUCGGCAGGGGAGAAUGGAAUUCCUGGUGUAGCGGUGAAAUGCGCAGAUAUCAGGAGGAACACCGAUGGCGAAGGCAGGUCACUGGGCCGCAACUGACGCUGAGGAGCGAAAGCAUGGGGAGCGAACAGG
Molecule: ribosomal RNA, 253 nt
Filed under: uncultured bacterium
Lineage: Bacteria
Description: partial 16S ribosomal RNA
Rfam family: Bacterial small subunit ribosomal RNA
Source: RNAcentral